CCUACGGGGGGCAGCAGUGAGGAAUAUUGGUCAAUGGACGAGAGUCUGAACCAGCCAAGUAGCGUGAAGGAUGACUGCCCUAUGGGUUGUAAACUUCUUUUAUAAAGGAAUAAAACGAGGCACGUGUGCCGUUUUGCAUGUACUUUAUGAAUAAGGAUCGGCUAACUCCGUGCCAGCAGCCGCGGUAAUACGGAGGAUCCGAGCGUUAUCCGGAUUUAUUGGGUUUAAAGGGAGCGUAGAUGGGUUGUUAAGUCAGUUGUGAAAGUUUGCGGCUCAACCGUAAAAUUGCAAUUGAUACUGGCAGUCUUGAGUACAGUUGAGGUAGGCGGAAUUCGUGGUGUAGCGGUGAAAUGCUUAGAGAUCACGAAGAACCCCGAUUGCGAAGGCAGCUUACUAAACUGUGACUGACAUUGAUGCUCGAAAGUGUGGGUAUCAAACAGGAUUAGAUACCCCUGUAGUC
This 460-nucleotide ribosomal RNA is filed under the name uncultured bacterium. RNAcentral's name for it is "partial 16S ribosomal RNA". It matches the Rfam family "Bacterial small subunit ribosomal RNA", at positions 338 to 795 of the family's 1533-position model. The record is from RNAcentral.